RNAcentral lists this small RNA (107 nucleotides) under Marmota monax (woodchuck). The record is from RNAcentral. Lineage: Eukaryota; Metazoa; Chordata; Mammalia; Rodentia; Sciuridae.
GCUGGGUGUGGUGGUGCACACCUGUGAUCCCAGCUAUUCGGGAAGCUGAGGCAGGAGGAUAGUAAAUUCAAAGCCAGCCUGGAAAAUUUAGCAAGACCCUGUCUUAA